UUUGCUUUUUGCAUCCCAUUAAGACUAGAAGGUUUUUUAUUAUAACCCAGAAACUAUGAGAUAUAUUGGUGAACAAAGAAAUAUUAAAUACAUUGGAGUCCUCAAGUUAAACAACAAAAUCUGAUUUUACACAAGGAAGGGUAAAUGGGGAAAGAGGGAAAGCUUCUGUUGUGACUAAAAGCUUCCUAUUCAUAAAUCACCACACACUUUCAUAUAAGGAUUGUUCCCACAAUGUUUUUUGUCUAUCAAGACUUUUUUUUUUGAGGCUGAAGCAGUGCCACUUAUGGGAAGCACAUAGUGCACUUCUAUAAACGACCUCUCUGUAUAAAAGUCUUCUCUUUGUAUAAAAGUCAUGACAAACCAUUUUGGUUGACCAAAAUAACUUUUCUGCACCUUAACUGUAAGCUGGAAUGCCAGAAGUUCAGAGUUAAGGAAACAGGUGCAUAAGAAAGAUUAAUGCAUUGGUGUUAAUUCUCUACAAGAAUACCCAGCAGAUAAGGGUGCAUGAGAGGAGAUUCUGCUGUUCUUCCUGGCUCUUCCUGUUGCUCUUUCCUCUGUGCUUCUUCCAUCUUUCCACAGAUGUGGUCACCACUGCUUAGCAACCAAGGGGACAUGAUGACACAGAGGAAAAUCCUCCAUCUAGAGCUCACCCUGCUCCACCUACACAGCAGCAAACUACAUUUCACAGUAAAUUAGGAAGAAUACGUAUUCUUUGUUACGGCAGAGGUACCAAGUGGGACCGCACAGAAUUUUCUUUUCACUUGGUGGUGCACAGGAGAGAACUUAACAAGCUGGAGGAGAACUUGUUGGUAAAACAGCUCCCCAAAUGCUAAUGCCAGUGCUCCAGCCCUCCUCCAGGGAGAGCCCAGGCAGCUUAGAGAGACCCAAGUCCGGGCAAUACCCCUGAACCCGCCGGGGCAAGGCCCCACUCACCUCUCCCAUGCCACAGUAGAACAAGAUGAGGCAAAGUGGAUGGAAAAACGUAUUUUGCAGAAGAAUGUAUUUUGUUUAAACCUUUUGUUUGGGUAAGCAAUUCAUUUGCACACUAAUAUCUAAACAAUUAUGU
This is a non-coding RNA of Cyanistes caeruleus (blue tit), 1066 nucleotides long. The record is from RefSeq and is a predicted model, not a curated record. NCBI's taxonomy places the organism in Eukaryota, Metazoa, Chordata, Aves, Passeriformes, Paridae.